CUUCCAUGGCUGUGAAAUUGAGGGAAAGCACAAGCUAGGUCGAUCGAGGAGAGAGAUUUACAGCUGAGAUUGAGAGAUGGAGCCGAUCCAAAAGCUCGCAGCUUUGGUGUUCGUCCUUCUGGUGCUGGGAAAUGAGGUGACGAUGUCAAAUUCACAGACCAUUUGUAACAUGAGUCAAGAGGGUCUGAUGGCUUGCAAGCCAUCAGUAACUGCUCCGAACCCUUCCCCACCCUCGACUAUGUGCUGCUCCGCUCUGUCAGGUGCUGACAUGCACUGUCUUUGCUCCUACAAGAACUCCAACAUGCUGCCUUCCCUUGGGAUAGACCCCCAGCUUGCCUUGCAGCUCCCUGCAAAGUGCAACCUUCCUCAACCAACCAACUGUUAAGGGAGGAGAUGCACAAAGUUAACUUGCCUACGAUGAACUCUGAAGGCAUAUAAAAACUUUUAUAUGAAAUACUUAUUGUCUCUUUUGUUUUUGUUUCAUUUUCUUGUUUUGUUUUCUUUUGUGUGCCUAACCGAUCUACAGUCUGACUUCCUGUUCUGGAAUAAGUAUCAAUGCAAUAGCUUGUUCAAUUUGUAUUUUUUUUCAAUCUAUUUUAUGAUAUUUCAUGUUUCUUUCCAAAAUA
Long non-coding RNA from Nelumbo nucifera (sacred lotus), 626 nucleotides. RefSeq lists it as uncharacterized. The record is from RefSeq and is a predicted model, not a curated record. Lineage: Eukaryota; Viridiplantae; Streptophyta; Magnoliopsida; Proteales; Nelumbonaceae.